Podarcis lilfordi (Lilford's wall lizard) is the source of this 89-nucleotide non-coding RNA. NCBI's taxonomy places the organism in Eukaryota, Metazoa, Chordata, Lepidosauria, Squamata, Lacertidae. The record is from the annotation of a GenBank genome assembly.
AUGUAGAUAGCUCAGUUGGUUAGAGUGUGGUGCUGCUAACAACAAGGUUGCAGGUUUGAUCGGACAAUUGCAAAUUCCUGCAUUGCAGG